GUUUAAUGAAUUAUCAACUUCCCCUUUAUAUAUUAAGGAAGUUUUCUCUAAAUACAAUUCUAAAAAAGUAAAAUCAUCCUUUUCCAUAUUCACCAAUCUACCGCUGAUACGCGCCAAGAUUCACACAGUAAUAUCCGAUUGGUCACGAAUAUCAUGGCCCUUUAUUAAUCGUGUGCGGAUAUUUGGCAAUGCUUCCGGAAGUCUCGUUAUUCCAAUUAGGUCGGGGGCAUGAUUUCGAUGGCUCCGAGGGUAGGUGUUUUGUUCGGGCUUUGAUAUGGGCGGGUCUCAGCUUUGAUUUUGGCACAAUUAUGUCCUCUCUUAGUUCGCCCCACCGGGAAAUCAGAGAGUUCAAUACCUCCGGUCUUACCCAUAUACAGAUGUCUCUUGUUAUGGAAGGAGAGUUCUGAAGUAACGGUUAAGUUGUCUCUAUAUACCUAUAAGUCAGGGGUUUGAGCUGUAAAAAGAGCCAUUAAUGAUUGUAUUAGGGUAAGCUGUCUACAUCAUACCCUUUAGGGUGCGACCUUUUUCCGGACCUUGCAUAAAUACAAAAUACUUUAUGUAUCGAGCUACUUUUAUUUUGUUAUAUCUUGUUAUUUGUUUUCUUUAAAAUUACAUAUCCUGAUGUUGC
RNAcentral lists this long non-coding RNA (628 nucleotides) under Nicotiana benthamiana. RNAcentral's name for it is "long non-coding RNA (NBEN_LNC038232)". Lineage: Eukaryota; Viridiplantae; Streptophyta; Magnoliopsida; Solanales; Solanaceae. The record is from RNAcentral.